UGGGCUGUCGCCAAGUGGUAAGGCACUGGGUUUUGAUCCCAGCAUUCCGCAGGUUCGAAUCCUGCCAGCCCAG
This 73-nucleotide transfer RNA is filed under the name Spirochaetia bacterium. RNAcentral describes it as "tRNA-Gln". It matches the Rfam family "tRNA". From Rfam's summary of the family: Transfer RNA (tRNA) molecules are approximately 80 nucleotides in length. Their secondary structure includes four short double-helical elements and three loops (D, anti-codon, and T loops). Lineage: Bacteria; Pseudomonadati; Spirochaetota; Spirochaetia. The record is from RNAcentral.